This 292-nucleotide ribosomal RNA is filed under the name uncultured bacterium. RNAcentral describes it as "partial 16S ribosomal RNA". It matches the Rfam family "Bacterial small subunit ribosomal RNA", at positions 505 to 796 of the family's 1533-position model. The record is from RNAcentral.
GUGCCAGCCGCCGCGGUAAUACAGAGGGUGCAAGCGUUGUUCGGAAUCAUUGGGCGUAAAGGGCGCGUAGGCGGUUUUGUAAGUCGAAUGUGAAAGCCCAGGGCUCAACCUUGGAAGUGCAUCCGAAACUGCGAAACUUGAAUCCUGGAGAGGGUGGUAGAAUUCCCAGUGUAGAGGUGAAAUUCGUAGAUAUUGGGAGGAAUACCGGUGGCGAAGGCGACCGCCUGGACAGAGAUUGACGCUGAGGCGCGAGAGCGUGGGGAGCAAACAGGAUUAGAUACCCUAGUAGUCC